UUUUCUUCAAAUCUUCCUCUCUUCUCUUAUGGGAGCUCCUGAGCAAUUGAGAGCAUACCUUUGAGUUCUUUUCAGUCCCUAGGACCACUUGCCUUAGAGGCAGUGUCUGCCUGGUGCUGGCUAUGUCAGCUCUAAGCCUUCACCCCUGUGAGUUGUAUAUGAACGAAGAAGACUAACAAAGAGUAUGGCCAAGACAAUGAUUGAAGAUGUUGGGAAUAUGAUGACUGAUGAUGGAGGUUAGGUAGUGACCAUUAGUGUUUUUUUUUAUAACUAACUAGGUUAGAACC
Molecule: long non-coding RNA, 287 nt
Filed under: Helianthus annuus (common sunflower)
Lineage: Eukaryota; Viridiplantae; Streptophyta; Magnoliopsida; Asterales; Asteraceae
Description: sRNA HanXRQr2_Chr08g0340471
Source: RNAcentral